Salvia miltiorrhiza (redroot sage) is the source of this 480-nucleotide long non-coding RNA. RefSeq lists it as uncharacterized. The transcript has 3 exons. Lineage: Eukaryota; Viridiplantae; Streptophyta; Magnoliopsida; Lamiales; Lamiaceae. The record is from RefSeq and is a predicted model, not a curated record.
CCGGAUUUUACUCUCAUUUACCGCAUUUCAUCCCCCUCCCCUAACAUUUACUGUCAACCUUAUCAAUUCAAAAUCUGAUUUGAGGUUACGAGGAGAUUUCGACGCAACAAAUCCGAUUGAAGAGUCGUCGGCGACUUGUUCGUAAAAUGGUUAGGUUUUGAAGAUCUGCUGAAAUCGAACGGACCAACUCCGAUUGCAGAUCAAUGCAGUGCUGGUUGGGAAGGAGGCGUCGGCCGUUGUCGGCGUUUUCGCCGGAGAAGGAAGCGUGUGUGAGUGUCUGCGUCUGUGACUCAACCUAAACACUACUCUAGAUUGACUCGCAAUAGUACGAGAUCUAUUGUAACGUGUAAGCUAACCCAAGUCGUCUCUCAAAGAAAGUCUUUAAGGGCUUUUAAUUGUAUCGUAGGAAAAAAGCAAUAAAAGAAAGCAGUAAAAAGUUUGAUUAUUAAUCUAGAACUGAAACUUAAAAGCUGAAUUAAA